AUGUUUACGGACGGCUUAGAGUGCACAAUGAUACCAAGCAGAAAACAGGGAGCACUUCUGACAUUCUUCACUUGCAUUAUCCUGGGGGAACGUUGGGCUUGUAAUGUCGAUCACGGUCUCGGAAAGUGGCAACAACUGGUUCUCGCUUAUGAUCUUAAGCCCCUUGGAGUAUGCCUCUGCCAUAGACGCACUGUACUAUCUGAAAUUCUGAAUGAAACUUACAAUACAAAUGUGGUAACUGUGUGUUUUUAUGGAUGUUCCAGGGGAGUGUACUAUUGGACAAAACUCAAAAGCAUAGAGGAAACAAGAGAUCAAGGUCAAGAUGGCCUUCUAUGA
Molecule: ribosomal RNA, 336 nt
Filed under: Triticum aestivum (bread wheat)
Lineage: Eukaryota; Viridiplantae; Streptophyta; Magnoliopsida; Poales; Poaceae
Description: partial small subunit ribosomal RNA
Source: RNAcentral